GAUGAACGCUGGCGGCGUGCCUAAUACAUGCCAGUCGAGCGAACGGACGAGAAGCUUGCUUCUCUGAUGUUAGCGGCGGACGGGUGAGUAACACGUGGAUAACCUACCUAUAAGACUGGGAUAACUUCGGGAAACCGUAGCUAAUACCGGAUAAUAUUUUGAACCGCAUGGUUCAAAAGUGAAAGACGGUCUUGCUGUCACUUAUAGAUGGAUCCGCGCUGCAUUAGCUAGUUGGUAAGGUAACGGCUUACCAAGGCAACGAUGCAUAGCCGACCUGAGAGGGUGAUCGGCCACACUGGAACUGAGACACGGUCCAGACUCCUACGGGAGGCAGCAGUAGGGAAUCUUCCGCAAUGGGCGAAAGCCUGACGGAGCAACGCCGCGUGAGUGAUGAAGGUCUUCGGAUCGUAAAACUCUGUUAUUAGUGAAGAACAUAUGUGUAAGUAACUGUGCACAUCUUGACGGUACCUAAUCAGAAAGCCACGGCUAACUACGUG
This 497-nucleotide ribosomal RNA is filed under the name uncultured bacterium. RNAcentral's name for it is "partial 16S ribosomal RNA". It matches the Rfam family "Bacterial small subunit ribosomal RNA", at positions 28 to 507 of the family's 1533-position model. The record is from RNAcentral.